RNA transcript from Rhinopithecus roxellana (golden snub-nosed monkey), 2644 nucleotides. It is a transcript of the gene named Rab interacting lysosomal protein like 2, with no coding region annotated. The record is from RefSeq and is a predicted model, not a curated record. The transcript is spliced from 5 exons. NCBI's taxonomy places the organism in Eukaryota, Metazoa, Chordata, Mammalia, Primates, Cercopithecidae.
CCCCGGGCUGCAACUGUUCCCAGGCUGGGGCGAUUGCCCUCACCCCUGAACUUUCCUCUUCUCGGCCGCCCUCCUUUUCCGUUGUCCCUUCGCGCCCCAAACCACAUCCUGGAGCGCACUUGCCCGCGCGGCCUGCAGCGGAGACGGUGCGCCCGAGGCGUGGGCCUUACAGUCGCGUGCGCGGCCCCUUUUUCCAUCCCCCGCCCGGGCCCACCCUCGGGCCGCGCUGAUUGGGCAGGUAGGGACUCUGCCCAGCGGAAAGUUUUGGGUGCCGGGAGGAAGUUCAACCUUUGGGAGACUCCAAGACAGCAGCUCCGGGGUCGGCGGGGGUCUGGGUGGCCAUGGAGGAGCCCCCUGUGCGAGAAGAGGAAGAAGAGGAGGGAGAGGAGGACGAGGAGAGGGACGAGGCUGAGGACGAGGAGAGGGACGAGGCUGGGCCCGAAGGGGCGCUGGGCAAGAGCCCCUUCCAGCUGACCGCCGAGGACGUGUAUGACAUCUCCUACCUGUUGGGCCGCGAACUUAUGGCCCUGGGCAGCGACCCCCGGGUGACGCAGCUGCAGUUCAAAGUCGUCCGCGUCCUGGAGAUGCUGGAGGCGCUGGUGAAUGAGGGCAGCCUGGCGCUGGAGGAGCUGAAGAUGGAGAGGGACAACCUCAGGAAGGAGGUGGAGGGGCUGCGGAGACAGGACCCUCCGACCAGCGGGGAGGUGAACCUGAGCCCAAACAAAAUGGUGGUUGACUUGACAGAUCCCAACCGACCCCGCUUCACUCUGCAGGAGCUAAGGGAUGUGCUGCAGGAACGCAACAAACUCAAGUCGCAGCUGCUGGUGGUGCAGGAAGAGCUGCAGUGCUACAAGAGUGGCCUGAUUCCACCAAGAGAAGGCCCAGGAGGAAGAAGAGAAAAAGAUGCUGUGGUUACUAGGGCCAACAAUGCUGGCAGGAACAAGGAGGAGAAGACAAUCAUAAAAAAGCUGGAGGGAAACUGAUGCACAAGGAGACUACGUACCUGCCCAAGUUACACAGCAGUGGAUUGGAAGCAGAGGUUCUGUUCCAGCAGCCACACGCCCCCUCCAAGUAUACAGAUAAGGAAACCAAAGAACUCAAGAGUUCUAGAAAACAUGCUCAAAAUCACAUCAGUACGCUUUUCUGGUUCCCCAGGAGGACGCUUACCAAAGCUGAGACUCAUGUUGGUGUGACACAGUCAAAUUGUAAAAACAGAAAGACACACAGGUGGCCUUGCCUGGCAAUAAAUAUUUUAAUUUUUGUUUCAUUUUUAUGAUGACAAAUAAUUUUCAAGUUUAUUUCCUUGUUUAAAUACAAAGCUAAACCACAAAUAGGUAUAAUCGACAUUGUGUCUCACAUUUACACUCCUGUCGGAUCCUCUCCCAAUUUGCUGACCGCUGGCCAGGCUAGCGGGGGGUGGGGGGAAGACUUUCUUAGGUAGCACCGCCGUGAGGUCCAAGGUGGGGUUGGGGGGAAUCAAAGACUAGGACGGGCUCUCAUACCUGUCUCCAUUCACAUUUACCUGGGACCAGGGUAGGCAGGAGACACCAGGUCAUGGAUCCUGAGCCCUGGCCCCCUGGGCUGAAGGGACAGAGAGUGAGGAUCAGUUCUGUGAAGGAUGGGAGGAGGCAGCCACCUACUCCUCCUGCCUUCACAGUUAAGGUGAAAACCUUAGCCCUAUCUGUGAUUCCUGGGGGCCGCCAGGCCCUGUGUGCUCCCCUGCACACCUGGGUGCCUUUCUGAGGCUGGCAGCAGCGGCUGGGGUCAGGGGUCCUGGGCUCCUAGGCUCACACCUCAGCUCCCAGUUGCGUCCUUACAGAAGGAUGCCGGGUGUCUGACAAACACAAGGCCUUGACAGCAGGUCUGGAACCUUCAACCCCAGCAGGAUGAGGGGAAAUGGGGGUGGAUGUUAGGUAAGUAAUUUCUGGUCCCACUACAAAACUUUAUUUUUGAUUAGAGUACCAUUCUCAAUCUCUUCUACAAAAAGCAAAAAAAAAAGCAAAAGCAAAAGAAAAGAAAAGCAGCCACUUCACUCACUUCAAGACCUAUAUACAUGUAAGUUGUUUUCUGUGGUUUUUUUUUUUAAUUUUUAUUUUUUUUUUAAUUUUUAUAAUUUUUUUUAAAAUAAAUUCAGUGUUCACAUUUCUAUAAAGAAUUAACCCAGUUUCAGGAAACCCUGCCCCCGCAGGGCAGGUAAGCAACACUCUCCCUGCCCACAUCUAAUUCGAUUUCGCGCCCUGAUGCUUCAAGGUGCCCAGAAAAGCGGCAGCUUGUGGAAGAGGAAAUCUAUGCCCGGCCCAGGCUCGGGGCCCAGGGCUCAGUAAGCUUUCGAGAAAGCAGAGGGGAAGACUAGUUUACUGCAAAACCUUUUUAAAAAAUAUUCAUACACUUCAGUGAGCGCCUGUCGAGACGUUAGGAGAACAAGAGCUUGGAAACAUCCCGUCCAGGCCAUUGGGAGGCAGCGUCUUCCUCACACCCCGUCCCUGGAUGUCAGGGGUGCAGGGGGAAGGUCCCGGCUCUUCCACUGGAGAAAGGAGACUCACCUGGCUUCCUAGUUCAUGUUUGACUCUUUCCUCUAAAACCUGUGCUGAGUCUUUGACUGCAUGCACGGGAAGCACAAACGUUCGGCUUGUAUGCAAAAAAA